UACGAAGGGGGCUAGCGUUGCUCGGAAUCACUGGGCGUAAAGGGUGCGUAGGCGGGUUUUUAAGUCAGGGGUGAAAUCCUGGAGCUCAACUCCAGAACUGCCUUUGAUACUGGAGAUCUUGAGUUCGGGAGAGGUGAGUGGAACUGCGAGUGUAGAGGUGAAAUUCGUAGAUAUUCGCAAGAACACCAGUGGCGAAGGCGGCUCACUGGCCCGAUACUGACGCUGAGGCACGAAAGCGUGGGGAGCAAACAGG
This 253-nucleotide ribosomal RNA is filed under the name uncultured bacterium. RNAcentral's name for it is "partial 16S ribosomal RNA". It matches the Rfam family "Bacterial small subunit ribosomal RNA", at positions 524 to 776 of the family's 1533-position model. The record is from RNAcentral.